RNAcentral lists this ribosomal RNA (253 nucleotides) under uncultured bacterium. Its description in RNAcentral is "partial 16S ribosomal RNA". It matches the Rfam family "Bacterial small subunit ribosomal RNA", at positions 524 to 776 of the family's 1533-position model. The record is from RNAcentral.
CACGUAGGGGGCAAGCGUUGUCCGGAUUUAUUGGGCGUAAAGAGCGUGUAGGCGGUUUGGUAGGUCCGUUGUGAAAACUCGAGGCUCAACCUCGAGACGCCGAUGGAAACCAUCAGACUAGAGUCCGGAAGAGGAGAGUGGAAUUCCUGGUGUAGCGGUGAAAUGCGCAGAUAUCAGGAAGAACACCCGUGGCGAAGGCGGCUGUCUAGGACGGUACUGACGCUGAGACGCGAAAGCGUGGGGAGCGAACAGG